AUAUCUCUCUGUACGGGAAGGAUGAGAAGCUUCGACUAAGGUUCGAUUCGAGCGUCAGCGAGAAAGCGUUGCCGCAG
RNAcentral lists this small RNA (77 nucleotides) under Salmonella enterica subsp. enterica serovar Heidelberg. Its description in RNAcentral is "partial RtT sRNA". It matches the Rfam family "RtT RNA", at positions 1 to 76 of the family's 130-position model. From Rfam's summary of the family: This family represents a bacterial cis-regulatory element known as RtT RNA. The exact function of RtT is unknown although it is thought that it may be involved in changing the cellular response in relation to amino acid starvation. The record is from RNAcentral. RNAcentral also lists the same sequence under 6 other names. Lineage: Bacteria; Pseudomonadati; Pseudomonadota; Gammaproteobacteria; Enterobacterales; Enterobacteriaceae.